This 497-nucleotide ribosomal RNA is filed under the name uncultured bacterium. RNAcentral's name for it is "partial 16S ribosomal RNA". It matches the Rfam family "Bacterial small subunit ribosomal RNA", at positions 28 to 507 of the family's 1533-position model. The record is from RNAcentral.
GAUGAACGCUGGCGGCGUGCCUAAUACAUGCAAGUCGAGCGAACAGACGAGGAGCUUGCUCCUCUGACGUUAGCGGCGGACGUGUGAGUAACACGUGGAUAACCUACCUAUAAGACUGGGAUAACUUCGGGAAACCGGAGCUAAUACCGGAUAAUAUAUUGAACCGCAUGGUUCAAUAGUGAAAGACGGUUUUGCUGUCACUUAUAGAUGGAUCCGCGCCGCAUUAGCUAGUUGGUAAGGUAACGGCUUACCAAGGCGACGAUGCGUAGCCGACCUGAGAGGGUGACCGGCCACACUGGAACUGAGACACGGUCCAGACUCCUACGGGAGGCAGCAGUAGGGAAUUUUCCGCAAUGGGCGAAAGCCUGACGGAGCAACGCCGCGUGAGUGAUGAAGGUCUUCGGAUCGUAAACCUCUGUUAUUAGGGAAGAACAAAUGUGUAAGUAACUAUGCACGUCUUGACGGUACCUAAUCAGAAAGCCACGGCUAACUACGUG